UACAUGGGGUGCAAACGUUGCUCGGAAUUAUUGGGCGUAAAGCGCACGUAGGCGGUUCGUUAAGUCGGAUGUGAAAGCCCUCGGCUCAACUGAGGAAGUGCACCCGAAACUGGCGAGCUUGAGUACGAAAGAGGAUCGCGGAAUUCCCGGUGUAGAGGUGAAAUUCGUAGAUAUCGGGAGGAACACCGGUGGCGAAGGCGGCGAUCUGGGUCGAUACUGACGCUGAGGUGCGAAGGCAUGGGGAGCGAACGGG
Molecule: ribosomal RNA, 253 nt
Filed under: uncultured bacterium
Lineage: Bacteria
Description: partial 16S ribosomal RNA
Rfam family: Bacterial small subunit ribosomal RNA
Source: RNAcentral